RNAcentral lists this ribosomal RNA (524 nucleotides) under Pteroncola inane. Its description in RNAcentral is "eukaryotic LSU rRNA". It matches the Rfam family "Eukaryotic large subunit ribosomal RNA", at positions 25 to 671 of the family's 3401-position model. The record is from RNAcentral. Lineage: Eukaryota; Bacillariophyta; Fragilariophyceae; Thalassionematales; Thalassionemataceae.
CCGCUGAAAUUUAAGCAUAUAAUUAAGCGGAGGAAAAGAAACUAACCAGGAUUCCCUCAGUAAGGGCGACUGAAGCGGGAAAAGCUCUAACCGAAGAAUUGUGGUGUGUUUUUGCGCUAAUUGACAGGGCCAAGUCCCUUGGAAAAGGGCAGCAGAGAGGGUGAUACUCCCGUUCGCCUUGUUUAUGGAGCAAACACAUUAGAGUCGAGUUGUUUGGGAUUGCAGCUCAAAGUGGGUGGUAAAUUCCAUCGAAAGCUAAAUAUUGGUGGGAGACCGAUAGCGUACAAGUACCGUGAGGGAAAGAUGCAAAGAACUUUGAAAAGAGAGUUAAAGAGUACCUGAAAUUGCUGAAAUGGAAGCGAAGGAAACCAGUGUCGUGUCUGGCAUAUUUCCCUGUUUGCUUGCAGACAGGGCGCUGUGUCUGCACUGGUCAGGUUUGUUUGGGACGUGCAGAACUCGUGCGGGUCCUGAAUGAGUCUGGCGAAAUGGUUUUCUUUACCCCGUCUUGAAACACCGGACCAAGG